AAAGACUGAAUUCUUCGGUUUUCGUGUCCAACGUUUGACCGUCCGUCUUAUAUGAAAAUUUUUAUGAUUAGUAUUUUUAUUAUUGUUAGAUGAUAAAAUAUGAAUAAUACUUUAUGUAUAACUUAUCUUUUUAAAUUUUUUAUAAUUUUUUAAAUAAGAUGAACGGUCAAAAGUUAGACACGGAAAUCUAGG
RNAcentral lists this microRNA precursor (192 nucleotides) under Oryza nivara. RNAcentral's name for it is "MIR812 microRNA precursor family". It matches the Rfam family "MIR812 microRNA precursor family". The record is from Rfam by way of RNAcentral. Lineage: Eukaryota; Viridiplantae; Streptophyta; Magnoliopsida; Poales; Poaceae.